AUAAGGAAAUGGACGAUUGCUCUUGCUCGAUUUAUCGAUAUUUCGAAAUUUCGAGUGGGAGAGGAAAGUCCGGACACCACCCCGCAGUUGCGGGGGAAAAGCGUACGGGUUAACGACCCGCCGCGGAAUAAAUAACGCGAGAGGUGCGAACAGAGACGCCGAAAUCCGAAAGGAUUGAGGCGCCCAACACAUAACUUGUUAUGUGUUGGGCGAGUUUCUAUAGUAAUACGGAAAGUGAAACGGCUAAAUCCUUACUGGGGUGCAACCUCGUUAUGAGGGCUAGAGCCAUUCAGCAAUGAACGGCCCAGAGAGAUAAUCGUCGUCCGCCAGAAAUGGCGAGAUACAGAAUCCGGCUUAUAGUUUCCUUUAUGAG
RNAcentral lists this RNase P RNA (373 nucleotides) under Candidatus Azambacteria bacterium RIFOXYD1_FULL_42_11. Its description in RNAcentral is "RNase P RNA component class A". It matches the Rfam family "Bacterial RNase P class A". Rfam says of the family: Ribonuclease P (RNase P) is a ubiquitous endoribonuclease, found in archaea, bacteria and eukarya as well as chloroplasts and mitochondria. Lineage: Bacteria; Candidatus Azamiibacteriota. The record is from RNAcentral.